GACGUAGGGGGCGAGCGUUGUCCGGAAUUAUUGGGCGUAAAGGGCUCGUAGGCGGUUUGUCGCGUCGGGAGUGAAAACUCAGGGCUUAACUCAGUGCUUGCUUCCGAUACGGGCAGACUAGAGGUAUGCAGGGGAGAACGGAAUUCCUGGUGUAGUGGUGAAAUGCGCAGAUAUCAGGAGGAACACCGGUGGCGAAGGCGGUUCUCUGGGCAUUACCUGACGCUGAGGAGCGAAAGUGUGGGGAGCGAACAGG
RNAcentral lists this ribosomal RNA (253 nucleotides) under uncultured bacterium. RNAcentral describes it as "partial 16S ribosomal RNA". It matches the Rfam family "Bacterial small subunit ribosomal RNA", at positions 524 to 776 of the family's 1533-position model. The record is from RNAcentral.